GAUGAACGCUGGCGGCGUGCCUAAUACAUGCAAGUCGAGCGAACAGAUGAGGAGCUUGCUCCUCUGACGUUAGCGGCGGACGGGUGAGUAACACGUGGAUAACCUACCUAUAAGACUGGGAUAACUUCGGGAAACCGGAGCUAAUACCGGAUAAUAUAUUGAACCGCAUGGUUCAAUAGUGAAAGACGGUUUUGCUGUCACUUAUAGAUGGAUCCGCGCCGCAUUAGCUAGUUGGUAAGGUAACGGCUUACCAAGGCGACGAUGCGUAGCCGACCUGAGAGGGUGAUCGGCCACACUGGAACUGAGACACGGUCCAGACUCCUACGGGAGGCAGCAGUAGGGAAUCUUCCGCAAUGGGCGAAAGCCUGACGUAGCAACGCCGCGUGAGUGAUGAAGGUCUUCGGAUCGUAAAACUCUGUUAUUAGGGAAGAACAAAUGUGUAAGUAACUAUGCACGUCUUGACGGUACCUAAUCAGAAAGCCACGGCUAACUACGUG
RNAcentral lists this ribosomal RNA (497 nucleotides) under uncultured bacterium. RNAcentral's name for it is "partial 16S ribosomal RNA". It matches the Rfam family "Bacterial small subunit ribosomal RNA", at positions 28 to 507 of the family's 1533-position model. The record is from RNAcentral.